Molecule: unclassified non-coding RNA, 513 nt
Filed under: Hevea brasiliensis (rubber tree)
Lineage: Eukaryota; Viridiplantae; Streptophyta; Magnoliopsida; Malpighiales; Euphorbiaceae
Source: RNAcentral
UUGUUAUUGAUAAAUGCCAGCAAGAAGUUAUUGGAGGACACACUGAAGAUGAAGAUUUCGGUGUCACAAUCUACCUCUUCUUGUUCUUCGAUUUCCCAUUCUCAAUUGAAAAUUCUGAAUAUCGAGAAUAUUGAGGAUCUAGAAGUUCUGCCAGAGGAGUUGCUAACAAAUCUCAUAUCACUCCGACAACUUUAUAUUCGUUAUUGUCCACGAAUAACAAAGGUGUCUUCUGCUUUGCGGCAUCUAACUUUCCUUGAGAUUCUUGUAUUCGUGGCUUGUGAGGAGCUUGAUUUUUCUGAUUCAGAGUAUCAUAGUGAUAUGCCAUGGCAGCACCUCCUAUUUGUAAAUUUGUUCAAAUUGGCAUCACUUCCAAAGGGUCUUCAACAUGUUCUCACUCUGCGAAAACUCACGAUCUAUAAUUGUCCUAAUUUGUCAUCUUUACCGGAGUGGAUGGGAAGUCUCACUGAAUUACAAUAUUUAUGGAUUAGAGAAUGUCCUCAACUGUCAGAAAGA